RNAcentral lists this long non-coding RNA (888 nucleotides) under Ananas comosus (pineapple). Its description in RNAcentral is "long non-coding RNA (ACOM_LNC041137)". The record is from RNAcentral. Lineage: Eukaryota; Viridiplantae; Streptophyta; Magnoliopsida; Poales; Bromeliaceae.
UAUUUUGUUCUUUGCUGCUAUGUAUCGUCGCCGAGGACGACCGUCGUUGGGGGAGCGUGCGCAGUUGGCGCAGGAUCGUGCGGGUAGUUUUGUAUCUUGGAGUUUGGUAUAUGUAUAUGGAACUCGGUUUGGUUUUCUUCUAGUUCUUCUAGCAGCUCUAUACUACUGUUUGUAGUAUUGUAUGUUUUACAGGUACAGCUGUCGUUUCGUAUACAGGGAAAAUUUCUUCGUAUACGGCGGAUUUGUCGGCGUGCCGGGGGAACGUGUAAUCCGGGGCGUGACAGAUUAAGUUGGUAUCAGAGCUUAGCAUUAGGUUGUUAGGACCUAGAGAACCCAAGUUUGGCAAACCUUAGGAAAGCAAGACGCGAGAGGCGUGAUUUAUCGCGAAAGUCAACGAUUUGUUGUUCUAACUCCUCCUAGAGUGGAGUGAGUGAUUGGAGGAGUUCCUGUUUUGUCCUGAAAAAUUAUGUUGGCUGCAGACGACAUAAUUUUGGGGAGAAACAGGGGGCCGCCUUCUAAACUUUCGUUUGAUUGGGUCGAGAGUGUUUUAUUGUAUCUGACCCCUAUUUUGUUCUUUGCUGCUAUGUAUCGUCGCCGAGGACGACCGUCGUUGGGGGAGCGUGCGCAGUUGGCGCAGGAUCGUGCGGGUAGUUUUGUAUCUUGGAGUUUGGUAUAUGUAUAUGGAACUCGGUUUGGUUUUCUUCUAGUUCUUCUAGCAGCUCUAUACUACUGUUUGUAGUAUUGUAUGUUUUACAGGUACAGCUGUCGUUUCGUAUACAGGGAAAAUUUCUUCGUAUACGGCGGAUUUGUCGGCGUGCCGGGGGAACGUGUAAUCCGGGGCGUGACAGAUUAAGUUGGUAUCAGAGCUUAGCAUUAGGUUGUUAGGAC